GUUGAGAUAGCAAAGUAGGUAAAUGCAAGAAUUCUAAGCUUUCUUUAUCGGGGGUUCAAGUCUCCCUCUCAAUU
This 74-nucleotide transfer RNA is filed under the name Coscinasterias acutispina. RNAcentral's name for it is "tRNA-Leu". It matches the Rfam family "tRNA". Rfam says of the family: Transfer RNA (tRNA) molecules are approximately 80 nucleotides in length. Their secondary structure includes four short double-helical elements and three loops (D, anti-codon, and T loops). Lineage: Eukaryota; Metazoa; Echinodermata; Asteroidea; Forcipulatida; Asteriidae. The record is from RNAcentral.